This 259-nucleotide ribosomal RNA is filed under the name uncultured Staphylococcus sp. RNAcentral's name for it is "partial 16S ribosomal RNA". It matches the Rfam family "Bacterial small subunit ribosomal RNA", at positions 103 to 355 of the family's 1533-position model. The record is from RNAcentral. Lineage: Bacteria; Bacillati; Bacillota; Bacilli; Caryophanales; Staphylococcaceae.
CGGGUGAGUAACACGUGGAUAACCUACCUAUAAGACUGGGAUAACUUCGGGAAACCGGAGCUAAUACCGGAUAAUAUUUUGAACCGCAUGGUUCAAAAGUGAAAGACGGUCUUGCUGUCACUUAUAGAUGGAUCCGCGCUGCAUUAGCUAGUUGGUAAGGUAACGGCUUACCAAGGCAACGAUGCAUAGCCGACCUGAGAGGGUGAUCGGCCACACUGGAACUGAGACNCGGUCCAGACUCCUACGGGAGGCAGCAGUA